CACUGUCAAGGGCAAUCCAUAGGUGUCGUACUUAUGCAUGGCUCCCUUUGGCUUCGAGUGCGAUCUGGUGAAGACGUGUACAGUGUCCUCAAAAUAUCUCCGGCCCCACGGAUAGUCGUUGAAAUGAUCGAUGUUGUCAACUAUCUCCAGAUGGAAGAGGUCGAUCGCAGUCUUCUUAUAGUGACACCACACCAUGCUUUCAAGGAUCUAGACCAGAUCUAACUUCAGUCUGUCUAACAUCUGAUCACACCUCCUGAUUGUGUCCAACAGUUGUGUAAGAAGCACAGUACCCUGUCCCUCGAAGUAAGCGUCAUGAAGCCUAUUUCUUCUCUGAGUCCCAUCACCAGUUACUUCAUUGCCCGUAAUCUUUAAUCUUAUUAUUAGAGCAAACUCGAACAUCGAAAAACUGACGAUUUUACCCCCCCAUUGCGAAGUGGAGGGCAUCGCUAUCGACUGGACUCAGCAAUCGACAUAGAAGUGCAUCAAUAAUCUGACCCGACUACUACAGGUCUCUCAACGGAUACAAGGGCCACAGGAAGGACUGGCUCAACAUAUCAGCAUGCUGAUCAUCAAGCAGCUCUAACACAGCUGUGAAACUAUCAAAGUUACUAUUCCACGUAGCUUUGCCUAGCAUUUGUCUCAACUCUGCGUGAAGAUGGUAAUCCAUCCUUUAAAAAUUCAAAAUGUUAUAACAUUGUACAAGUGAUAAUAGUAAUAACAGAAAAUUUAGCGAACGAAAUUGUAACUAC
RNAcentral lists this long non-coding RNA (749 nucleotides) under Olea europaea (common olive). RNAcentral describes it as "long non-coding RNA (OEUR_LNC010805)". The record is from RNAcentral. Lineage: Eukaryota; Viridiplantae; Streptophyta; Magnoliopsida; Lamiales; Oleaceae.